UCCCUGGUGACUCAAUAGGUUAAGAAUCUGGCAUUGUCACUGCUAUGGCACAGGUUCACUCCCUGGCCAGGGAA
This 74-nucleotide transfer RNA is filed under the name Sus scrofa (pig). It matches the Rfam family "tRNA". Rfam says of the family: Transfer RNA (tRNA) molecules are approximately 80 nucleotides in length. Lineage: Eukaryota; Metazoa; Chordata; Mammalia; Artiodactyla; Suidae. The record is from Rfam by way of RNAcentral.